This 980-nucleotide ribosomal RNA is filed under the name Lactiplantibacillus plantarum. RNAcentral describes it as "bacterial SSU rRNA". It matches the Rfam family "Bacterial small subunit ribosomal RNA", at positions 210 to 1209 of the family's 1533-position model. The record is from RNAcentral. Lineage: Bacteria; Bacillati; Bacillota; Bacilli; Lactobacillales; Lactobacillaceae.
UCGUCAUUACUAUUGAGAUGUCGGGGCUUAAGCAUAGGUUGAGUAUCGACUCACAUGCAAAUGAUACGUAGGCGAACUGAAGGGUAAUCGCCACAUGGGACUGAGAAACGCCCACUCCUACGGGAGGCAGCAGUAGGAUCUUCACAAUGACGAAAGUCUGAUGAGCACGCCGCUGGAGUGAAGAAGGGUUUCGCUCGUAAACUCUGUUGUAAAGAAGAACAAAUCUGAGAGUACUGUCAGGUAUGACGGUAUUUUACCAGAAAGCCACGGCUAACUACGUGCCAGCAGCCGCGGUAAUACGUAGGUGGCAGCGUGUCUGGAUUUAUAGGGCGUAAAGCGAGCGCAGGCGGAUUUUAAAGUCUGAUGUGAAAGCUUACGGCUCAACCGAAGAAGUGCAUCGGAAACUGGGAAACUUGAGUGCAGAAGAGGACAGUGGAACUCCAAGUGUAGCGGUGAAAUGCGUAGAUAUAUGGAAGAACACCAGUGGCGAAGGCGGCUGUCUGGUCUGUAACUGACGCUGAGGCUCGAAAGUAUGGGUAGCAAUCAGGAUUAGAUACCCUGGUAGUCCAUACCGUAAACGAUGAAUGCUAAGUGUUGGAGGGUUUCCGCCCUUCAGUGCUGCAGCUAACGCAUUAAGCAUUCCGCCUGGGGAGUACGGCCGCAAGGCUGAAACUCAAAGGAAUAGACGGGGGCCCGCACAAGCGGUGGAGCAUGUGGUUUAAUUCGAAGCUACGCGAAGAACCUUACCAGGUCUUGACAUACUAUGCAAUUCUAAGAGAUUAGACGUUCCCUUCGGGGACAUGGAUACAGGUGGUGCAUGGUUGUCGUCAGCUCGUGUCGUGAGAUGUUGGGUUAAGUCCCGCAACGAGCGCAACCCUUAUUAUCAGUUGCCAGCAUUAAGUUGGGCACUCUGGUGAGACUGCCGGUGACAAUCCGGAGGAAGGUGGGGAUGACGUCAAAUCAUCAUGCCCCUUAUGACC